UACGUAGGCAGCGAGCGUUGUUCGGAGUUACUGGGCGUAAAGAGUGCGUAGGCGGUGCUCUAAGUUUGGUGUGAAAUCUCCCGGCUCAACUGGGAGGGUGCGCCGAAAACUGGAGUGCUCGAGUAUGGGAGAGGUAAGCGGAAUUCCUGGUGUAGCGGUGAAAUGCGUAGAUAUCAGGAAGAACACCCGUGGCGAAGGCGGCCCACUGGGCCGGUGCUGACGCUGAGGCGCGAAGGCGUGGGGAGCGAACGGG
This 253-nucleotide ribosomal RNA is filed under the name uncultured bacterium. Its description in RNAcentral is "partial 16S ribosomal RNA". It matches the Rfam family "Bacterial small subunit ribosomal RNA", at positions 524 to 776 of the family's 1533-position model. The record is from RNAcentral.